Molecule: ribosomal RNA, 497 nt
Filed under: uncultured bacterium
Lineage: Bacteria
Description: partial 16S ribosomal RNA
Rfam family: Bacterial small subunit ribosomal RNA
Source: RNAcentral
GACGAACGCUGGCGGCGUGCCUAAUACAUGCAAGUAGAACGCUGAAGAGAGGAGCUUGCUCUUCUUGGAUGAGUUGCGAACGGGUGAGUAACGCGUAGGUAACCUGCCUUGUAGCGGGGGAUAACUAUUGGAAACGAUAGCUAAUACCGCAUAACAAUGGAUGACCCAUGUCAUUUAUUUGAAAGGGGCAAAUGCUCCACUACAAGAUGGACCUGCGUUGUAUUAGCUAGUAGGUGAGGUAACGGCUCACCUAGGCGACGAUACAUAGCCGACCUGAGAGGGUGAUCCGCCACACUGGGACUGAGACACGGCCCAGACUCCUACGGGAGGCAGCAGUAGGGGAUCUUCGGCAAUGGGGGCAACCCUGACCGAGCAACGCCGCGUGAGUGAAGAAGGUUUUCGGAUCGUAAAGCUCUGUUGUAAGUCAAGAACGAGUGUGAGAGUGGAAAGUUCACACUGUGACGGUAGCUUACCAGAAAGGGACGGCUAACUACGUG